This 1539-nucleotide ribosomal RNA is filed under the name Triticum aestivum (bread wheat). RNAcentral describes it as "partial small subunit ribosomal RNA". The record is from RNAcentral. Lineage: Eukaryota; Viridiplantae; Streptophyta; Magnoliopsida; Poales; Poaceae.
AUGAGCAGCGCGUUCAGCGAGGAGAUACUCGCCGACAAGCUCGCCAAGCUCAACAACACGCAGCAGUGCAUCGAAACGCUGUCGCAUUGGUGCAUUUACCAUCGGAAGGAUGCAGAGCUAAUUGUCCAAACAUGGGCCAAGCAGUUCCAUAAUUCUGGAAAUGAACAAAAGGUCCCUUUCCUUUAUCUGGCUAAUGACAUCCUACAGAACAGUAAGCGCAAUGGCACCGAGUUUGUAGAAGAAUUCUGGAAGGUCCUCCCAACAACACUUAAAGAUGUAGCUGAAAAGGGUGACGACCGUGGGAAGAAGACGGUCUCUAGGCUGGUUGAUAUAUGGCAAGAAAGGAGAGUUUUUGGUUCACGUGCUGGGGGCAUCAAGGAUGUGAUGCUUGGAACUGCCCCCCUUCCUGUAUUAGAUAUGACCAAAAAGCGCUCUCACAGUUCAUCCAUCAAGAUUGUUAAAAGAGAUUCACGUUCUGUAAAACUGAGACUAGGCGUUGGAGGAACUGCAGAGAGAAUUGUAUCUGCGUUGCAUACUGUUCUCAGUGAACAAGCAGAUGAAGAUGCUGACCUCGAAAACUGCAAGACAUCUAUGCGUCAUGUUGGAAAGAUGGAGAAGGAUGUUGACAGUGCCUGUAACAAAGCUGAGGAUCCUCGUCGUGAGACUCUUUGCACAAAAUUGAAGGAUGAGGAGGCUACCAUGAAAAAAUGCAUCGAAAAGCUCAAAGCAGUUGAAGAAAAUAGAGCAGCUGUUGUGUCUGAAUUGAAAGAGGCAUUGCAGGAACAGGAAUCGGAGCUGGAGAAGGUCCGCACUCAGUUGCAGUUGGCUGAAGCAAUGGUAGAAGAAACGGCCAACAUGCAACGGAGGCUCAACAAUGAGCCAAUCAUUCCAUCUUCCAAGCUAGCAUCAUCAGUAGAGCCAGGAAAUUCACUCUCUAAUGGGCAAGUAAAGGGCCAGCAGAAGACAGCUGCUGCUAUCCUCGCGGACAAGAUUGCAUCAUCAUCAAACUCUCAGCAAAUACUCCAAUCUGCACUUUCCAAGUUUGCUGCUGAAAAUUCAUCUGAGAUACGCUCAGAUAAAAGGAUGAAAGUCGAACAAUCCUCACAGGUCCCAAGCGUUGCGAAUGCUGCUGCCUUCGUACCAAUGCCGUCAAUGGUCACCACAGCAGCACAGCAGCCCCAGACAAUCUUGGUACAGCAAACUCCUGUGCAAGGCCAAGCUUCUGCGCCACAGCCCCAAUACAAUAUCUACCAGGCCCCUCCACAGCACUUUGUCCAGCAGCCUGGAGGUUUAAUUAUGGGCAUGCCAUACAGCAUGAACACCAUGAAUCCACCCCCACCUCCACCACCGCCGCAGAUGAUGAACCUAGCAAGGGCGCAGACACAGCCUCAACCACCUACACAGCAGAUGCUUCAGCAGCAAAUGCAGAUGAAUGUUGCGCCCCCGAUGCAGUUUACGCUUCAGCAGCCUGGUGCACCACCUUUCAGGCCUUUGCAGCCACCUCCAGGGAUGCAAUUUUUCCAUCACCAAUCUCAGUGA